Molecule: ribosomal RNA, 528 nt
Filed under: uncultured Gammaproteobacteria bacterium
Lineage: Bacteria; Pseudomonadati; Pseudomonadota; Gammaproteobacteria
Description: bacterial SSU rRNA
Rfam family: Bacterial small subunit ribosomal RNA
Source: RNAcentral
AUGGGCGAAGCUGAUGCAGCCAUGCCGCGUGUGUGAAGAAUGCCUUCGGGUUGUAAAGCACUUUCAGCGAGGAGGAAAGGGGAUGUAGUUAAUAACUGCAUUCUGUGACGUUACUCGCAGAAGAAGCACCGGCUAACUUCGUGCCAGCAGCCGCGGUAAUACGUAGGGGUGCAAGCGUUAAUCGGAAUUACUGGGCGUAAAGCGUGCGUAGGUGGUUUGUUAAGCAAGAUGUGAAAGCCCCGGGCUCAACCUGGGAACUGCAUUUGAAACUGGCAAGCUAGAGUAUUGUAGAGGGUAGUGGAAUUUUCCAGUGUAGCGGUGAAAUGCGUAGAGAUUGGAAGGAACAUCAGUGGCGAAGGGCGGCUACCUGGACAAAAUACUGACACUGAGGCACGAAAGCGUGGGGAGCAAACAGGAUUAGAUACCCUGGUAGUCCACGCCGUAAACGAUGUCAACUAGCCGUCUGUAGCACUUGAUGCUGUGGGUGGACGUAGCUCACGUCGCUAAGUUGACCGCCUGGUGGAGUAC